Molecule: ribosomal RNA, 99 nt
Filed under: uncultured bacterium
Lineage: Bacteria
Description: partial 16S ribosomal RNA
Rfam family: Bacterial small subunit ribosomal RNA
Source: RNAcentral
UACACACCGCCCGUCACACCAUGGGAGUUGGCUUUACCUGAAGACGGUGCGCUAACCGCAGGGGGAUAGCCGUCCAAGGUAUGACUGGUGAUUGGGGUG